AUCUCACUACUGUAUAUUUUAAUAUAAAUCUUCUUUUUAGUGAUUCUUUGUUACUGUCAUCAUGCCUAUUGCUUCAACGGUUGUCGUAUCCCAAUGGGCAUCGUUUUCUAGUAAAUUCAGUUCUUCACAUGCAGCACGAUAUGUUGGAAAUAUUGUACCAUUAACAGUUCGUAGUGACUCAAAUGAUUUUCGCCCACACACAUUUACCAGCAAUAACCGCAAAUAGAAGCAUUCAUCAUUCUCUGGAUGUAUAUAUACGACCCAGAGCAUCAGUAGAACGUACAUACGGAUAAUCAGGAACCGCAUCGCCUUGCUUCCGUCUUUGAAAAUUCUUCGAUGAAGCAUUGCAAGUGUAAUAACGUGGCAUCUCCGAGUAAAGCAAAGUUCGUGCAAACGUAUCGCUUUGGCAGAUCGCAAAAAAACUGGUCAAUGUUGUCGCUGGAGGUGUUUCAGCACUUUGAAUAGCAUUUGAAGCUGUGAAAUAUACUCUUUGACCAUUCUCCAAAUGCACAACAGUUGGAUGACGUUCGUGAAUAGGGAAUGCGAAUAUUCGCCAAAUCGCUUCAUUGCAGAUUACAUACCGACCAACUUGAUAGCGCUCAAUUUCAUAUUUCGGAGGGUUGGGUGCCAAAAACUGCCAUAUCGCUGCCUUUCGUGACAUAUUUGCAGAUAUGUUUUAUGGACUUUAUUGAAUUGCAAUACUCAACCUUACAAUGUGUCUUGAACGUUUUGGAAAGAAGUGGCAAAUAUGAAACAAUCCAACUGUUGUCGACCACGAAAUCAAUUAAUUUAACUUUUGUUGUGAUAGUCCGACCGUUGUUAUCGGGUGAUCGACGCCUAUACAGUGGAUAACCAUCGUUGCCUGUGACAGUCUCUGCCGUUAAUUUUCGUGGAUAUCGUUUGGAACAUUUGCCAUCGACCAUGCAAGGUGAAUUGGAAUUGAUGGGGCCACACGGUCCAUGAAUCAUAUUUGUGAUUAUGACAUUAUGUAGGUCUGGAUCGGUUUCGUCAUCGGGAAUUUCAGCAUAUAUGAUAUCAUCUAUUUGUUCUGGUUGAAUUCCUUCCACUAACCAAAUAAGAUUAUGUGCGUGCGGCUGGCCUCGUUUUUGCCAUUCGAUUGAAUACAUCCAACAUCGAGUAUCUCCAAACACGCGUUGUUUAACAAUAUACUCGUAGUUCAUCAUUGAGCGCAUUUUUUGCCUGAAUACACGUGUUGUGAUAUUUUGAUCACUUGAUGUUUGUCCAGGAAGCAGUAAUUAAACAAUUUCUUUCCAUUUUGGAUUACAGGUAAAAGUAAUAAAGAGAUCUGGCCGACCAUAAUCUAUAUAAAUAAAAGAAAGUCGACUUAGUUACUACACUUAUAACUAAAGAACGGCUUAUCAAAUUUAGCUAAAAAUUGGUGGAGAGGUAGCUUAGGGCCAGGAGAAGGUGCUUCGUCCCUCCAUUGUCGAUCCACCAUCCUGUAUCUGCCGAAGAACUGGUCUCCAUUUGAAGCAUAUCUUUAUCGGUGACACCCAAGACUACAUUGGUACUCACAGUGUUGCCCUGAGGAAUACUCUUCUUCGGUCGUCCAUCAGAAAUCCACUUCUGACAUUGUGUCUUCCAAUGUCCUUUUUGCUUGCAAUAAUGACAAUUGUCAUUUUUCCUGGACUUCCUAAUAGGUUUUAUUUUUGCACUUCUUGCGAAUAAAGCAUCUACGGGAGCAUCUUCUGUGACCUUUUUAAAAUUUGGGUGAUUAACUCUUCAACCGUCUUAUCAUCAUCUUUUGAAAAUAGUGUUUUGGGCAGUGCAUUGCAGUGCUAUGUGUAUGCUUUGAACUAAGUGUAGCAGUGGCGCUAUCUAGCUUAGAGGGUUGUGAUGAGGGUUGUUAAGUUUGUUAUUUAGUAUAAGUUUUUUAUGUAUUGCGUCGCCACUCGUACUUCCUGCGCGACGCCAUGAUGGGCCGCUGAGAGGGAGUAUGAGGGUGCAAAUAAAAGGGCCAGCCGAGAGCGUCUCGGUCUUGUUUCCAUCGAAUCGUCA
Molecule: long non-coding RNA, 2019 nt
Organism: Dalotia coriaria
Lineage: Eukaryota; Metazoa; Arthropoda; Insecta; Coleoptera; Staphylinidae
Exons: 2
Source: RefSeq, a predicted model, not a curated record